Molecule: ribosomal RNA, 497 nt
Filed under: uncultured bacterium
Lineage: Bacteria
Description: partial 16S ribosomal RNA
Rfam family: Bacterial small subunit ribosomal RNA
Source: RNAcentral
GAUGAACGCUGGCGGCGUGCCUAAUACAUGCAAGUCGAGCGAACAGACGAGGAGCUUGCUCCUCUGACGUUAGCGGCGGACGGGUGAGUAACACGUGGAUAACCUACCUAUAAGACUGGGAUAACUUCGGGAAACCGGAGCUAAUACCGGAUAAUAUAUUGAACCGCAUGGUUCAAUAGUGAAAGACGGUUUUGCUGUCACUUAUAGAUGGAUCCGCGCCGCAUUAGCUAGUUGGUAAGGUAACGGCUUACCAAGGCAACGAUGCGUAGCCGACCUGAGAUGGUGAUCGGCCACACUGGAACUGAGACACGGUCCAGACUCUUACGGGAGGCAGCAGUAGGGAAUCUUCCGCAAUGGGCGAAAGCCUGACGGAGCAACGCCGCGUGAGUGAUGAAGGUCUUCGGAUCGUAAAACUCUGUUAUUAGGGAAGAACAAAUGUGUAAGUAACUAUGCACGUCUUGACGGUACCUAAUCAGAAAGCCACGGCUAACUACGUG